Molecule: long non-coding RNA, 645 nt
Filed under: Eucalyptus grandis
Lineage: Eukaryota; Viridiplantae; Streptophyta; Magnoliopsida; Myrtales; Myrtaceae
Description: long non-coding RNA (EGRA_LNC005482)
Source: RNAcentral
CCUCGAAAGUGUAGAUGUCGAGUGAUGGGAUUGAAGAAUGUAUAUCCCGGAAUCGUCAAUGCCACCGUUGUCAACACGAAUCUAAGCCCUGUACUUUGAGCGACCGCCCAACGAGUCAGAUCCGGCGCACGAGAGAGCAAUUGAGAGGGAGAGACACCGAUCCGGCCGGUCAAAUCCGGCGAGAGAAUCCCCGAUCGAGAGAGUCACCGAUUGAACUCCAGAGAGAGAGCGAGAGCCAGAACAUGAGAGAAAACCUCCUUUGAUCGAGCAAUCCUACCUUCAAUCGACUUCCAGAGAGCGAGCGAUUGAGAGAAAAAGAGGGAUCUGCCGAGUGAGAACCAGUAGAACGAGAACGAAACUAAACUUCUCUUGCAAUCCCCGACUGCCAACCUUCGAUCUCCGAUCUUCGUUAAUGAGAGAAAACUCUAGCCUUCGACUCGCUCAACGGAGAAACACUGGAGACAGAGGCGGAAGCUUCCUCUGGUGGACGGCACGCGAGGCCGGGAUUUUGCCCCGAGGAAUGGUGGAUUUCUACCGAGAUUGCCCGAGGCUAGGGUUUCGAGAUCUCCAUGGAAGUUCCAUCCAUCAGUUACAGAGAGAGGGAGGAGCGAGAGAGAACCCGUGAGCGAGAGAAUCCCCCCAUCC